CAGUGGGAUAGGUCGGGAGGUUAGGGGUCUCCUGUAAUCACAAACCCCCUUCACGGUGAGACCGAAAAGCUGGAAGAGGUUCGAGCCAUCUCACUUUGGCUCAGGCGCAAGCGUUGAAGCUUUGCCUUGCUGGAUGGAAGGUCGUGCGAACCGGGCCAGGCCGGAAGGAGCAACCCUGAACACAAAUCACGAGAGCACCUGCUCUCUGAGUGGAUUCGUCCAUGCUAGCAAGUCACAAAGUCUAGCCCAUGUCUGAACAACCGGGUGAGGGGGCCCCCAUCGAUUCCAGUGAAGCCCGCUG
RNAcentral lists this signal recognition particle RNA (301 nucleotides) under Microcaldota archaeon. Its description in RNAcentral is "signal recognition particle sRNA". It matches the Rfam family "Archaeal signal recognition particle RNA". Lineage: Archaea; Nanobdellati; Microcaldota. The record is from RNAcentral.